UACGUAGGGUGCAAGCGUUGUCCGGAAUUAUUGGGCGUAAAGAGCUCGUAGGCGGUCUGUCGCGUCGGCUGUGAAAACCCGGGGCUCAACCCCGGGCCUGCAGUCGAUACGGGCAGACUAGAGUGCGGUAGGGGAGACUGGAAUUCCUGGUGUAGCGGUGAAAUGCGCAGAUAUCAGGAGGAACACCGGUGGCGAAGGCGGCUCUCUGGGACGGUACUGACGCUGAGACGCGAAAGCGUGGGGAGCGAACAGG
Molecule: ribosomal RNA, 253 nt
Filed under: uncultured bacterium
Lineage: Bacteria
Description: partial 16S ribosomal RNA
Rfam family: Bacterial small subunit ribosomal RNA
Source: RNAcentral